RNAcentral lists this long non-coding RNA (706 nucleotides) under Homo sapiens (human). RNAcentral's name for it is "HSALNT0364716". Lineage: Eukaryota; Metazoa; Chordata; Mammalia; Primates; Hominidae. The record is from RNAcentral.
GAUACCAAGUUCAAUUUUAACGAAGCUCUUUUAGUUCCAAGAAACAGACACAGCCAGACCAGUCUGAAAAUUUUUAUUUUCUGAAAAAUGUAACUUGUAAGAACACACGUAGAGCAAAAGGGAGAAACUUGGAAAUUUUUACGCAAGUAAGCCAGGCUGAACCUCCUAAUGCAUGAGGACUGGGCUGGUCCUUGUUUCACAGGGUGGACUCUAGAGUCGUCCUUGCAUCCCAGAAUUUGAGACCUAAUCCAUGAUUAAUCUUGAAACUGCUCCAGUGUGUUUGAGAGAACAGGCAUUCUCUAACUGACGCAAAGUUGUAUAAAACACCUAAGUAAAACCAUUCUUGAAAGGACACAUGAACAAAUUGAACCAGUCAGAGGGGAAAGAUCAGGAUGAUGAAGUGACUCAGAAAUCAGGCUUGUAUGAAGUUGCUGAUAUCCUGUACUCAGAGCCCACUUCACGUUAAUGGAAACUAGAAUAAUUUUUAAAAACAACUUAAAUGAAAGAACUGUAAGUUUUGAUGUUAUAAGUGCUUCUCUCAAGAUGUUUUCAAGUCUUCUCUAAGGACAAGUAACAAUACACUUCAUCUACAAGAGUUUCCAAUAUUUUUAGUGUAACCAGUAACAGUGACAGCGACAUAAUGAAAACAAUCAUCUUGAAAAGAAGAACAGAAAUUUGUAAAGAAUAUGUGUUUUCUUCUAUUUAA